Molecule: small RNA, 28 nt
Filed under: Bombyx mori (domestic silkworm)
Lineage: Eukaryota; Metazoa; Arthropoda; Insecta; Lepidoptera; Bombycidae
Description: ovarian small RNA-36844
Source: RNAcentral
UUAUCUGUUAUGGGAUUCCACAAUACUC